GUAGGGUGCGAGCGUUGUCCGGAAUUAUUGGGCGUAAAGAGCUCGUAGGCGGUCUGUCGCGUCGGUCGUGAAAACUUGGGGCUUAACCCUGAGCUUGCGGUCGAUACGGGCAUGACUGGAGUUCGGCAGGGGAGACUGGAAUUCCUGGUGUAGCGGUGAAAUGCGCAGAUAUCAGGAGGAACACCGGUGGCGAAGGCGGGUCUCUGGGCCGAUACUGACGCUGAGGAGCGAAAGCGUGGGGAGCGAACAGGAUUAGAUACCCUGGUAGUCCACGCCGUAAACGGUGGGCGCUAGGUGUGGGGGCCAUUCCACGGUCUCUGUGCCGCAGCUAACGCAUUAAGCGCCCCGCCUGGGGAGUACGGCCGCAAGGCUAAA
Molecule: ribosomal RNA, 375 nt
Filed under: uncultured bacterium
Lineage: Bacteria
Description: bacterial SSU rRNA
Rfam family: Bacterial small subunit ribosomal RNA
Source: RNAcentral